This 253-nucleotide ribosomal RNA is filed under the name uncultured bacterium. Its description in RNAcentral is "partial 16S ribosomal RNA". It matches the Rfam family "Bacterial small subunit ribosomal RNA", at positions 524 to 776 of the family's 1533-position model. The record is from RNAcentral.
UACGUAGGGUGCAAGCGUUGUCCGGAUUUAUUGGGUUUAAAGGGUGCGUAGGUGGCUUUUUAAGUCAGUGGUGAAAUACAGCCGCUCAACGGUUGAGGUGCCAUUGAUACUGAAGAGCUUGAAACAAGUGGAGGCUGCCGGAAUGGAUGGUGUAGCGGUGAAAUGCAUAGAUAUCAUCCAGAACACCGAUUGCGAAGGCAGGUGGCUACGUUUGAUUUGACACUGAGGCACGAAAGCAUGGGGAGCAAACAGG